This 24-nucleotide non-coding RNA is filed under the name Arabidopsis thaliana (thale cress). Lineage: Eukaryota; Viridiplantae; Streptophyta; Magnoliopsida; Brassicales; Brassicaceae. The record is from RNAcentral.
UUUAAUUAAACACCCAACAUUUAU